UACAGAGGUGGCAAGCGUUGUUCGGAAUUACUGGGCGUAAAGGGCGCGUAGGCGGUUCGUUAAGUCCUGUGUGAAAUCCCCCGGCUCAACUGGGGAACUGCACAGGAAACUAGCGGGCUUGAGUUCGGGAGAGGGAAGCGGAAUUCCGGGUGUAGCGGUGAAAUGCGUAGAUAUCCGGAGGAACACCGGUGGCGAAGGCGGCUUCCUAGACCGACACUGACGCUGAGGCGCGAAAGCUAGGGGAGCAAACGGG
RNAcentral lists this ribosomal RNA (253 nucleotides) under uncultured bacterium. Its description in RNAcentral is "partial 16S ribosomal RNA". It matches the Rfam family "Bacterial small subunit ribosomal RNA", at positions 524 to 776 of the family's 1533-position model. The record is from RNAcentral.